Molecule: long non-coding RNA, 451 nt
Organism: Homo sapiens (human)
Lineage: Eukaryota; Metazoa; Chordata; Mammalia; Primates; Hominidae
Gene: CASTOR3P
Product: CASTOR family member 3, pseudogene
Source: Ensembl
AUUUUAUCUAAAGAGAGAGGCUGAAGCAUUCCUUAAACCACAGAAGAAAACAGUGAAAGUACAAAAUGACAACAGCCGUCUUCAAAUACUGCUUGUCAGAGGGACAAGAGAGAACAGAGGUGCUGUGCUGCUCCACAAGGCAAAACAAGAGCAAACAAGUCUGUCUGAGUUUCAAGAGGCUGGCCCUGAGGCUGCACUGUGGCAGUCUAGGUGAGGAUACAACUAGAAGCCAGCAGUCUACAGGCUGGAAGAAGGCCCUCACCAGAACCCAACCCUUGGACUUCAGCCUCCAGAACUGUGAGAAAUACAUACCUGCUGUUUGUAAGACACCAGUCUAUGGAAUUCUGUUACAGUAGCCUGAACUCAGACAUAGCCCUUUUCCAUUUAUAAGAUUCAUUCAGCUUUUCCAGACCAGGCAUCACCGAGCGGAGAGAGGGGAAACACCCUGGCU